This 172-nucleotide transfer-messenger RNA is filed under the name Rhodobiaceae bacterium. RNAcentral describes it as "partial transfer-messenger RNA". It matches the Rfam family "transfer-messenger RNA", at positions 195 to 374 of the family's 374-position model. Rfam says of the family: Bacterial tmRNA, also known as 10Sa RNA or SsrA, is named for its dual tRNA and mRNA-like properties. Its role is to liberate the mRNA from a stalled ribosome. To accomplish this part of the tmRNA is used as a reading frame that ends in a translation stop signal. Lineage: Bacteria; Pseudomonadati; Pseudomonadota; Alphaproteobacteria; Hyphomicrobiales; Rhodobiaceae. The record is from RNAcentral.
AUGAGAUAGCUUAUUUUUUUGCUUCGAUUAAAUAAGUGACCACUUAGAAGAUAGUCUUAUAUUCGUCUGUUCUUGAACCUGUAUAAGGCGAAACUUGAUCGAGUAACUAAACAUGUAGAUAUUUAUCUUUUCUCUAUUAUGGACGGGAGUUCGAAUCUCCCCGCCUCCACAU